CAUAGUGUUUAUUAAUUUUCAUCUCAUUGCUAUAUCAAAUUUUAUUCUUUAUAUUUUCUUGUGUGUUCUCUUCUUCCACCCUCGCCCCCCUAUCUCACUCACUCUAGCUCUAAAUAAAAUAAAGUGACUUCUUCUUCUUCUUCUUCUUCUUCUUCUUCUUCUUCUUCUUCUUCGGUUUUGUGAUAUACAUCAACAAGGAUGUUGAUCCAUUGUUGAAUGAUGUAAAAUUGGAGGGCAAGAAUGAUCCUACAAAAUCUAUUAGUUUCGUUGUUAAUAUGAUAAAGCACAUAAAAUGGGAGGUGAUGAUGCAGAAGCAUGAGCCAAACUAUGUUAUAUAGCUACGUGGUGCUUCUGGGAAUAUUGUUCGCAACUUUGUUAGUCAACCUCUGAUUGUUGUUUGUUUCAAGCCAUGUAAAUAAUGUAAAAUAGCCAAGCCACUAUAAGCUAGUGUGUCAUUUUAUUACCAAAUAAUAAUUGCUCAUUCCCCAUUUUACUUUUAAAGAAAAAUAUUUGUUUUGUACAAAUUAUAAAUUUAAUUGUUUUACCCAUAUAUCCAAUUAUAUUUCACCAAAUUGAUAAUUGUGAAAAUAAAUAGUCGUCUUUUGUAAUUAUUUUUAUACCUUUCACUUGGUGGA
This is a long non-coding RNA of Trifolium pratense (red clover), 635 nucleotides long. RefSeq lists it as uncharacterized. The transcript has 3 exons. The record is from RefSeq and is a predicted model, not a curated record. Lineage: Eukaryota; Viridiplantae; Streptophyta; Magnoliopsida; Fabales; Fabaceae.